GACGAACGCUGGCGGCGUGCCUAAUACAUGCAAGUUGAGCGAUGAAGAUUGGUGCUUGCACCAAUUUGAAGAGCAGCGAACGGGUGAGUAACGCGUGGGGAAUCUGCCUUUGAGCGGGGGACAACAUUUGGAAACGAAUGCUAAUACCGCAUAACAACUUUAAACAUAAGUUUUAAGUUUGAAAGAUGCAAUUGCAUCACUAAAAGAUGAUACCGCGUUGUAUUAGCUAGUUGGUGAGGUAAAGGCUCACCAAGGCGAUGAUACAUAGCCGACCUGAGAGGGUGAUCGGCCACAUUGGGACUGAGACACGGCCCAAACUCCUACGGGGUGCAGCAGUAGGGAAUCUUCGGCAAUGGACGAAAGUCUGACCGAGCAACGCCGCGUGAGUGAAGAAGGUUGUCGGAUCGUAAAACUCUGUUGGUAGAGAAGAACGUUGGUGAGAGUGGAAAGCUCAUCAAGUGACGGUAACUACACAGAAAGGGACGGCUAACUACGUG
RNAcentral lists this ribosomal RNA (497 nucleotides) under uncultured bacterium. RNAcentral describes it as "partial 16S ribosomal RNA". It matches the Rfam family "Bacterial small subunit ribosomal RNA", at positions 28 to 507 of the family's 1533-position model. The record is from RNAcentral.